Molecule: long non-coding RNA, 1578 nt
Organism: Peromyscus californicus insignis
Lineage: Eukaryota; Metazoa; Chordata; Mammalia; Rodentia; Cricetidae
Exons: 3
Source: RefSeq, a predicted model, not a curated record
ACUUGUCUUUAUACUUCUUCUUCUUCCCAAAGGGACUGCAGCUUGGAGCUUCACUUGGAGCAGACUGAGCCACACUUGCCACUCUCCUGUGAGGAACAGAUGACCAAAGCUCAUUUUAUGUGGUCACCCAGGCACCUGGCAGUGAAAAUGUUUCCAGAAGGAAAAAAUAAUUUCUUCACCUUAGUGCAGCCUAUUCUUCCACCUUUGAGUUGAGACCUGGAAAAUCGGGCUGACACUCACUUCACCAUAAGAAAUAUAUUAUCCACAACAACUCUAAUCUAUAAAUAAAGCACAGGUGUUAGCUCUGAAAAUGGCCUAGAAGAUACAGCAUGCUCAUGGCUUCGACCAAUAUCUUCAAGGUCUGCACUGUAUUUCCUCUGUUGCUCUAAUGUUAAACAUUUAUUGGUGCUAUUUAUCAUCAUUGGAAAUGGGAUCAACCAGAACUCUGGCUUAAAACUAAAGGUCUGUAUGUAUGUUUGCAGGGCUGACCAUUUGGUAUUUGAUAGAGAACUGAGCUGGAUGCACUCAUGUAUUUAGGAAUGUGUGUGUGUGUGUGCGUGUGUGCGCGCGUGCGUGCGUGCGUGCGUGUAUGUGUAUAUCAACAGUUAGUGAAAAAAGAGGUCAUGAAUUUCAAAGAGUAUAAAAAGGGAUAUAUGAGAGGUUUGGAAGGAAGAAAGGGAAGGUAGAAAUGAUGUAAUUAUAUUAUAAUCUCAAAAAAAAGAAAUAAUUAGUUCUGGUAUAGGAACUAACACUCUUUGAGGCAGAAGGUCAACAGUGGAUAUGUAUUUUUCUACCACUGUAAGGGUUAUGUGGGGCAGCCUUGCACUAAGUGAGCAAUCUGACUGGAGGACAAGAAUCUGCAUAAAGGACAUAUACUUAAAAUGUAACUGUUUUCAGAAGUUUUCUUAAAAACAGUACUGAGUGGUUGAAGGGGUGCAGGAAGCAGGAUGAGGGCUCUAUAACUGGUGAGAGAGCAUUUGAAGAAACAGGCCCAUGCUAUGGGAUGGUCUGUAUGUCAAAUGUGUUGCUGAUUGGUCAAUGAAUAAAUCACUGAUUGGUCAGUGGCCAGGCAGGAAGUAUAGGCGGGACUAACAGAGAGGAGAAUUGAGAGAACAGGAAGCUGGGUGAGAGAGACACUGCCAGCCGCCAUGAUGAGAAACAGCUUGUGAAGAUGCCGGUAAGCCACGAGCCAUGUGGCAAGGUAUAGAUUAAUGGAAAUGGAUUAAUUUACGCUGUAAGAACAGUUAGCAAGAAGCCUGCCACGGCCAUACAGUUUGUAAGCAAUAUAAGUCAAUGUGUUUACUUGGUUGGGUCUGAGAGGCUGCGGGACUGGCUGGUGAGAGAGAUUUGUCCUGACUGUGGGCCAGGCAGGAAAACUCUAGCAGCAGGCCCAUAAAAGGCUCCUUUCCCUGCAACCAAUGGCCUUAAAAUGAAUAGCAUCAGCUCCUGUGGACCCUUCCUCAUCCAUUAAAGGAAACUAGGACAUAUGUUUAGGAGAUAUGGAAAAUAUACACAAAACAGCAGAUUUCUGAAGCUAAGCAAUUAGCUACAGCAGGGGCUUUCUACCAGCACAAACGU